RNAcentral lists this transfer RNA (76 nucleotides) under Guyparkeria hydrothermalis. RNAcentral describes it as "tRNA-Phe". It matches the Rfam family "tRNA". Rfam says of the family: Transfer RNA (tRNA) molecules are approximately 80 nucleotides in length. The record is from RNAcentral. Lineage: Bacteria; Pseudomonadati; Pseudomonadota; Gammaproteobacteria; Chromatiales; Thioalkalibacteraceae. RNAcentral also lists the same sequence under 26 other names.
GGCCAGAUAGCUCAGUUGGUAGAGCAGGGGAUUGAAAAUCCCCGUGUCGGGGGUUCGAUUCCCUCUCUGGCCACCA